Molecule: ribosomal RNA, 1369 nt
Filed under: uncultured bacterium
Lineage: Bacteria
Description: bacterial SSU rRNA
Rfam family: Bacterial small subunit ribosomal RNA
Source: RNAcentral
GACGAACGCUGGCGGCGUGCCUAAUACAUGCAAGUAGAACGCUGAAGAGAGGAGCUUGCUCUUCUUGGAUGAGUUGCGAACGGGUGAGUAACGCGUAGGUAACCUGCCUUGUAGCGGGGGAUAACUAUUGGAAACGAUAGCUAAUACCGCAUAACAAUGGAUGACACAUGUCAUUUAUUUGAAAGGGGCAAUUACUCCACUACAAGAUGGACCUGCGUUGUAUUAGCUAGUAGGUGAGGUAAUGGCUCACCUAGGCGACGAUACAUAGCCGACCUGGGAGGGUGAUCGGCCACACUGGGACUGAGACACGGCCCAGACUCCUACGGGAGGCAGCAGUAGGGAAUCUUCGGCAAUGGGGGCAACCCUGACCGAGCAACGCCGCGUGAGUGAAGAAGGUUUUCGGAUCGUAAAGCUCUGUUGUAAGUCAAGAACGGGUGUGAGAGUGGAAAGUUCACACUGUGACGGUAGCUUACCAGAAAGGGACGGCUAACUACGUGCCAGCAGCCGCGGUAAUACGUAGGUCCCGAGCGUUGUCCGGAUUUAUUGGGCGUAAAGCGAGCGCAGGCGGUUUGAUAAGUCUGAAGUUAAAGGCUGUGGCUCAACCAUAGUUCGCUUUGGAAACUGUCAAACUUGAGUGCAGAAGGGGAGAGUGGAAUUCCAUGUGUAGCGGUGAAAUGCGUAGAUAUAUGGAGGAACACCGGUGGCGAAAGCGGCUCUCUGGUCUGUAACUGACGCUGAGGCUCGAAAGCGUGGGGAGCGAACAGGAUUAGAUACCCUGGUAGUCCACGCCGUAAACGAUGAGUGCUAGGUGUUGGAUCCUUUCCGGGAUUCAGUGCCGCAGCUAACGCAUUAAGCACUCCGCCUGGGGAGUACGACCGCAAGGUUGAAACUCAAAGGAAUUGACGGGGGCCCGCACAAGCGGUGGAGCAUGUGGUUUAAUUCGAAGCAACGCGAAGAACCUUACCAGGUCUUGACAUCCCGAUGCUAUUUCUAGAGAUAGAAAGUUACUUCGGUACAUCGGUGACAGGUGGUGCAUGGUUGUCGUCAGCUCGUGUCGUGAGAUGUUGGGUUAAGUCCCGCAACGAGCGCAACCCCUAUUGUUAGUUGCCAUCAUUCAGUUGGGCACUCUAGCGAGACUGCCGGUAAUAAACCGGAGGAAGGUGGGGAUGACGUCAAAUCAUCAUGCCCCUUAUGACCUGGGCUACACACGUGCUACAAUGGUUGGUACAACGAGUUGCGAGUCGGUGACGGCGAGCUAAUCUCUUAAAGCCAAUCUCAGUUCGGAUUGUAGGCUGCAACUCGCCUACAUGAAGUCGGAAUCGCUAGUAAUCGCGGAUCAGCACGCCGCGGUGAAUAAGUUCCCGGGCCU